AAAGAAAAGAAAAGAAGAAGAAAUCAAGAGGCGUCGAAGAAUUUCUUUCUCCUUUUGGUUGAUUAUUUUCUUCUCGGCAUACCACUCGAAGCUAAAACCGUUCGCGACGAGAGAAACGGUACAUCUCGAACAUGCAACGCUUCAGCGUCGACUGACUCAAACGAGCGAGUCUAUGAAUUUCGACGAGACGAAUCGAACGCCUCCGACCGCGAUCUUUCUAUGAUUUGACUAAAUGACAAAUCUCUCGCAAUGAUUGCCAAGCGAGUAGAAAAUAAACUAAAUCCAUCAAAUCAUUUCGAAUAUGAAUUAUCUUUCGUUUAUAUCGAAAUAAAUGAAUUUUUUUACGUUUCCAAGUCAUCUCGAUUCUUUGUUACGCGCCUACGCGACCUUGCCUAUUGAAAUUUUGGCAUAAACAAGCAUGACAUUGCUUGAGAUUCUCUUCUAUAGUAUUUUUAGUCUUUGCACUUAUUUGUGUUUCCUUUGAACGCGAGCGACUGAUCCCAACGCAACUCUGCUAUCUCGAACGCAAAUAAUUAAGUACUUUCUUCUGAUGUCAGAAUCUUACAUAUUCGGCACAUUCAAGACAAAGAAAUAAAGUAAAAUCGGUUACGUGCGAAAUGGACAAUCUAUAAACGGAGAAUGAAGGAUAAACUCGUGCUCGUAUAUACAUAUGUACACAUACGUAAAUAAUAGGUAUAUAACAACAAGGAAUGAGAAUGACGAUUAUCGCGAGAGACACGUUCGUAAUACAAUGCCGUUCGCUUCGUAUCGCGUAAAAGGCUAUUCCCAAGAUAAAAACGAAAAAUGCAAGCGUUUAAGGAAUUAAGUAUUAUAUACACAUCACGUAUGUUACUGGCGACAUUAAUAGCGAGCUUAUAAAAUAUUGCUAUUGCUGUAUAACUCGAGAGGAGAGUUAACCAGAGUGGCCGCGUAAUCGGUAAUUUUAAAUCGUCUUCUUCUACGACUCCUUCCUCUUGUUAAUUUUGCCGAGUUAGGCGAAGAAACGUAACAAGAACGGCACGUAGGAAGGAGCUAGGGCCAAAAAGUCAAGUAUACUAUCGUUAAAGCAGACCGCCGACGCGAAAUAAGAAGAAGAAGAAGAAUAAGAAGAAGAUGACGAUUAUUUUAAAUAAGAGGAACAUUUUCUUUUGAAUCUUUCGAAUCAGUGUACUCAACGAUGCUUCACAGUUUAUGGCAAGAAAAAUAAACAGGUAGACGAGAAGAGAGGAGGCAUUUAAAAAUAGAUGACUCUUCGUCGUUGUUGUCGUCGAUUUUUGUCUGUCGUCGAUUUUUGCCUGUCGUCGACGGUCGUCGACGGUCGUUGACGGUCGUCGUCGUUGUCAAGCAAAGAAGAGAUAGAUGAGUACCUUGAUUCUUCGGUGCAUCACCGCGUUCUUACGCAAUUGAUGCGCACGAACUCAACGAAUGUUGAUAGAAAGACAAGCAUACUUUAGUUAAAAAUAAAAUAGGUUAUAAAGGAAGAUAAUCUCAAAACAAAAGUUAAAUAAAAUUAUCUUCUUUUUUCUCUCUGUAGAAAAGAAACGUGCGAAUGAGAUUGGAGUAAAGCCAUGUGGUUCGAGUUUAGAAUCGAACGUAACUAAGUACAUAAUUUACCGCCUGUUAUCAAUUUCGAUCGAUCGAGAUCGAAAGUAUUUACGAUGUUUCUGUAUAAUUGCAGAAGGAUAGAUAAAGUUUUUACAUAUCUACGAUAUAUAUAUAUAUAUAUAUAUAUAUAUAUAUAUAUAUAUAUCAUUUGAUCCCUAAUACGUAAUAGCGAUAGGAUAGAUCCAAUGACAUAUUUUGCACGGAAAAAGGAACUUAAAUAACUGGCCAUUGGAUUGUCCCAUUUUGUUAUAAGCCUACCUGAUAUUUUUGUGCACGAAGAAGAAACUUGGACGAAGGGAGGAUGAAAACGAAGACGAAGGAAAACGUUCCUCUCGGCGAAUACAGCCUCCAAGGAAUGAUAUGCGAGAAAUCUCGAAUGCAACUUUCACCGGAUUACUGGCACGCAAAGUCGCACGGCGUCGUCGAACGUGUAACACCUUUGAAAUACUAAUUCUAAACCAAGAACAACAAGAAUUGUCCAACUUUGAUCCAGAAAAUAUCGAGCUAACGCUUAAAAUCAUCCGACUCCGUUCGCUUAAUGAUAGCUAAUGAUUUAUCUCUUUCGAUCCUGUCGAACUUUAAGGACAGAUUUAAUAAUAGUCAAAUAGAAAAAGUAAAUUGUGCGAUAGUGUUAUAACAUUCAUAGUUAUAGAUGCAUAGGUGCACACACCGCAAACGUUUAUUGGUCGACGAGAGAACGUUCUUUCUCGAUUGGUUGCUUUGCAAAGUGUAUCACGAUCGUGUCAACCUAAAACUUUAAACCAUAUAUAUAUCAGACAUAUUUAUAUACAUACGUAUAUACGAAUGCAUUGGGAUGCCUCAUUGGAAUGCAUAUGAAUGCAUGCGGUACGACUAUCGCCGAAAUGAAUUGCGUGUUUCCUCCAAAAGAACGUUUCUCCUUCGAAAUAGGAUUUUUAUAUACGAUCAAAGAGUAAAAAUCAAUCUUAACAUUCUACUUCUUCUUUUCUACAUUGGAAACUAGAAUUUAGCAUAACAAGUUUCACCGUAGAGAAUGUUUUUUAAUAGCUAACACAACAUAUUACGAUGCAUUCCGUGACAUGUAAAUUAUGCAUAAAUUUCCUGACCGAAUAUAUAUAUAUAUAUACACAUACAUAUACAUAUACAUUCUUGCCAAAACAUUUAAAAAAUUAUCUACAAAGAUAUGAUAUCUCUUUAUUGUACUUCUUAAAGAUUAUCAACAUUCUUCUAGAGUAAGAAAAGAAUUAAAAAAAGAACAAAGAAAGAAAAGAAAGACUUUUUUUUAUUGGGCGCGGUCGGAUAUCAACAAAUUUUUCUAUAUGAUCGAGCAUCUUGAUAUAGAUACAAACUUGUAAACAAUGUAACGAAACGUAAAUAAACUUCACCUUCGCGACGCUUGUUUAUUAGCAACGGAUUUGAAAGAUGUGAAAUACAUGUCGCUUCUCCCUCCCUCUCUCUCUCUUUCUCUCUCUCUCUCUCUCUCUCUCUCUCUCUCUCUCUCACUCCCUCGGGAUUGUUUACAAUACUAGUUUAGCGCAAACAGCUGGAAAGUGAAGGACAUAACCUACCGCUUUAGAUUUUUUUCAAUGUACUAUAAAGGAUCGCAUAUUGAUGUAAAUAAGUGAUCGUCUUUUUUGUUUACCUUUGUACAGUCUGCCAGGUAACGUGAGACUUCGCUCGUUGAAUAAAUCGUAUGCGUUAUACGAAACUCUUGUUCUCUUUGUAUUUCUCGUGUAUCUACACCUAAGUUCUAGUGUACUACUAAUGAUCACGCUCCACUACAUUUCGUUGAUUUUCGAACGAUGAAACUCUUUCUACAAAUCGACGUAAUUUUUCUUCUUGAAUGAUUCUCGAAUACACAUAGCAUCUCGAUUCACAAAGAAGCAGUAAGAAUGGCAUACAUAUGUCAAGUAUGCUCUGAACUGUACGGCGAAACGUAUGUUACUAUCCGCCGUUCCAAUUCACUUCUAUUUAUUCACUAUUUUCCGUCACAUUUUGUCAGUAGGUGGCGCGAGGUGAAAAAUCUGAAAAUGUCAGUCGAUCUGUUUCGUUUCUUUAAAAGGUCUGUCGUUUUUCUCCUACGUCUCUAUUCUUUUUAUCCUUUUUAUUUGAAAAUUUUUAUUAUCAUUAUAAUUAUAUUCUAUUUGAUCAAACGAUUUUGAUCCAAUACACUUUGACUUAACCUCUUGUUCCUACUUAAGAUUAUGUUAUAUUGUCGGUCAUCCAACAAAAAGACAUAAAAAAAACUUAGGCGCUAUAUUAAAACUUAAUAUCAAAUCUUUUUACAAUUAGAUUCAUUUAAAAACUUUGUAAAUAUCAAAUUAUGUUCUGUGAAAUAAUGUUCUUAUGUUAUAGUUCUUCUGCCUGAUUUCGUCGUUGAAAGGCCAUAAAAAGAUUCUUAACAAAAAUUUGUUUGCAUUAUAUAUAUAUAUAUAAAGAACAUACAAUUUAUUUGUCAUUUUGUGUUAUAGAUUUGCAUAAAACAUUGUAAUGGAUUCUAAAAAAGAGAAAUUUAAACAAACAUGCGAUCUUUUUAAGAUUACUAUCAGUUAAAAACUUCACAAACUUAAGUUCUUAAUGGUAAUUUUUAUCUCAUAACUUUUUUAUGUGAUUUCAUUGAUGAGACAUCGUUAAGAUAUUCUUAUCAUCGAAUGUAGAGAUAGCCAGCUAAUUCUUACGUUUUAUCAUAUUUAGAAAAAUUAACAUUAUGCUAAAAUAAAACUAUUAUUGAAAUGAAAUUGAAAACUUUGUGUCAGGCUUAAGUACACAGUCCUAUUGUACUUUUAUUUUCUUUCAUUAUUAUAUUAAGAAAAAGGAAUCGUGUGUGUUAUAAUUAAUUUGAAGAUUAGAAUUAACCAUUAUUGUCAGAUUCUUCAAAUUAUUAUCUUUCUUACAUAUAUCUAAUUAUUAGUCCAAUUGCUUUGUAAAUUUUUGUACUUUUAUGUAGAAAAAUUUUAUAAUUGAUAGCAAUGAAGAAUGCCAAACUUAAUUCUUCAAACUUAAUAAAGAACAAAUUCCAAACAUUUAGAUAUUCAAAAUAUCCUGUAGACAGUUGA
This is a long non-coding RNA of Vespa velutina, 4640 nucleotides long. RefSeq lists it as uncharacterized. The transcript has 3 exons. The record is from RefSeq and is a predicted model, not a curated record. NCBI's taxonomy places the organism in Eukaryota, Metazoa, Arthropoda, Insecta, Hymenoptera, Vespidae.